CACUAAACUUUCUACUGCGCUUACUAGCGGUCCUCAAGUUUCAAGAAUUUUUCUACAGAGAUUAAAACAUGCUUCACGUCCCUAAAAAUACCAUAGGAAUCCAAAAUUGGUAAAAAAAUCCUUUUCGGCCAAUUUUUGGGUUCUGGCAUGGCGUCAUCGCCGUGCUCCGGCGACGGCACCACUACCGACGACGAUAGUUUGCC
RNAcentral lists this long non-coding RNA (203 nucleotides) under Carica papaya (papaya). RNAcentral describes it as "long non-coding RNA (CPAP_LNC007617)". Lineage: Eukaryota; Viridiplantae; Streptophyta; Magnoliopsida; Brassicales; Caricaceae. The record is from RNAcentral.